CCUACGGGAGGCUGCAGUGGGGAAUAUUGCACAAUGGGCGCAAGCCUGAUGCAGCCAUGCCGCGUGUGUGAAGAAGGCCUUCGGGUUGUAAAGCACUUUCAGCGGGGAGGAAGGCGUUAAGGUUAAUAACCUUGGCGAUUGACGUUACCCGCAGAAGAAGCACCGGCUAACUCCGUGCCAGCAGCCGCGGUAAUACGGAGGGUGCAAGCGUUAAUCGGAAUUACUGGGCGUAAAGCGCACGCAGGCGGUCUGUCAAGUCGGAUGUGAAAUCCCCGGGCUCAACCUGGGAACUGCAGUCGAAACUGGAAGGCUAGAGUCUUGUAGAGGGGGGUAGAAUUCCAGGUGUAGCGGUGAAAUGCGUAGAGAUCUGGAGGAAUACCGGUGGCGAAGGCGGCCCCCUGGACAAAGACUGACGCUCAGGUGCGAAAGCGUGGGGAGCAAACAGGAUUAGAUACCCUAGUAGUC
Molecule: ribosomal RNA, 465 nt
Filed under: uncultured Klebsiella sp.
Lineage: Bacteria; Pseudomonadati; Pseudomonadota; Gammaproteobacteria; Enterobacterales; Enterobacteriaceae
Description: bacterial SSU rRNA
Rfam family: Bacterial small subunit ribosomal RNA
Source: RNAcentral